This is a long non-coding RNA of Telopea speciosissima, 381 nucleotides long. RefSeq lists it as uncharacterized. NCBI's taxonomy places the organism in Eukaryota, Viridiplantae, Streptophyta, Magnoliopsida, Proteales, Proteaceae. The record is from RefSeq and is a predicted model, not a curated record. The transcript has 4 exons.
CCGAGUGCUAAGUUAUUUUUAUUGGACUUGUAGAUUGCACCAGACUGGAGGCAGGCAUUGACACUGAAAAAAACGGCUGAAGAUCGAAUUGCUAAAGAUGGUGUGAUUGGCAUAGGCAUUGCUGCAACUGCUGUUGGACUCUUAGUAGGUGGGAUUGCUGCUGCGAUGGCUCGUAAGAAGUGAUGGAACUCCUUAACCCAACUAUGUGCAUAACUACUUAACUACCAUGAUGGCUUUCUCUCUGUUGGAUUGAUAUGUUCAAGAUUUGAGGUCCUUGUGUGAUGCACUUGAAUCAAUUUUGGAGUUUUAGAUGGUACACUAGUCUAAAUAAAGUAUGUAAAAAAAAAUUAGACAGUUAAGGGUGGUAAGUUUCAUGAUUCA